CCUACGGGUGGCUGCAGUGGGGAAUAUUGGACAAUGGGGGCAACCCUGAUCCAGCCAUGCCGCGUGUGUGAAGAAGGCCCUCGGGUUGUAAAGCACUUUCAGUGAGGAAGAACGCCUGGUGGUUAAUACCCAUCAGGAAAGACAUCACUCACAGAAGAAGCACCGGCUAACUCCGUGCCAGCAGCCGCGGUAAUACGGAGGGUGCGAGCGUUAAUCGGAAUUACUGGGCGUAAAGCGCGCGUAGGUGGCUUGAUAAGCCGGUUGUGAAAGCCCCGGGCUCAACCUGGGAACGGCAUCCGGAACUGUCAAGCUAGAGUGCAGGAGAGGAAGGUAGAAUUCCCGGUGUAGCGGUGAAAUGCGUAGAGAUCGGGAGGAAUACCAGUGGCGAAGGCGGCCUUCUGGACUGACACUGACACUGAGGUGCGAAAGCGUGGGUAGCGAACAGGAUUAGAUACCCCAGUAGUC
Molecule: ribosomal RNA, 465 nt
Filed under: Vreelandella stevensii
Lineage: Bacteria; Pseudomonadati; Pseudomonadota; Gammaproteobacteria; Oceanospirillales; Halomonadaceae
Description: partial 16S ribosomal RNA
Rfam family: Bacterial small subunit ribosomal RNA
Source: RNAcentral